RNAcentral lists this long non-coding RNA (378 nucleotides) under Ananas comosus (pineapple). Its description in RNAcentral is "long non-coding RNA (ACOM_LNC007306)". The record is from RNAcentral. Lineage: Eukaryota; Viridiplantae; Streptophyta; Magnoliopsida; Poales; Bromeliaceae.
GGAACUCAUAGCAAGUAUGAUCAUAUCCUUAACUCAAAGGAUUUAUAAGUUCAAUCUUGACUUUACACUAGCUCUAGUGUUCUUUCAUCACUUUUUAUUGCCACUCUAGCAAUCAUUGUUCUUUACCAUUCAUUACUCUUGCUAACUCUAGCAAUUAUAUUCUUUACAUUCUUUACUUUUGGCUACCUCUAGCACUUCAUGUUCUUUACUCCCCACAUUACUUUAACUUUAAACAUUGUCAUUUUCAUCAUUCUUUACAAUACAUUGGUUCUUUACCUCACACUAUCUCUAGUGUCAUUUCACUUUAACUUUAUCGAAUGCCACUCGAUCUAUGUCAUUGUGUCACUCUGUUCUUUUGCUCACUUUGGGUGCUCACUU